CCUACGGGAGGCAGCAGUGGGGAAUAUUGGACAAUGGGGGCAACCCUGAUCCAGCCACGCCGCGUGUGUGAAGAAGGCCCUCGGGUUGUAAAGCACUUUCAGUGAGGAAGAACGCCUGGUGGUUAAUACCCAUCAGGAAAGACAUCACUCACAGAAGAAGCACCGGCUAACUCCGUGCCAGCAGCCGCGGUAAUACGGAGGGUGCGAGCGUUAAUCGGAAUUACUGGGCGUAAAGCGCGCGUAGGUGGCUUGAUAAGCCGGUUGUGAAAGCCCCGGGCUCAACCUGGGAACGGCAUCCGGAACUGUCAAGCUAGAGUGCAGGAGAGGAAGGUAGAAUUCCCGGUGUAGCGGUGAAAUGCGUAGAGAUCGGGAGGAAUACCAGUGGCGAAGGCGGCCUUCUGGACUGACACUGACACUGAGGUGCGAAAGCGUGGGUAGCAAACAGGAUUAGAUACCCGAGUAGUC
Molecule: ribosomal RNA, 465 nt
Filed under: Vreelandella stevensii
Lineage: Bacteria; Pseudomonadati; Pseudomonadota; Gammaproteobacteria; Oceanospirillales; Halomonadaceae
Description: partial 16S ribosomal RNA
Rfam family: Bacterial small subunit ribosomal RNA
Source: RNAcentral